RNAcentral lists this long non-coding RNA (1047 nucleotides) under Crocodylus porosus (Australian saltwater crocodile). RNAcentral's name for it is "lncRNA (ENSCPRG00005009474.1)". The record is from RNAcentral. Lineage: Eukaryota; Metazoa; Chordata; Crocodylia; Crocodylidae.
GCAGGUUGUAGUGUGUCAGAAUUCCACUGUCUAUAUUGAGUCCAUGAGUUUCUGUACCUACUACCUAGGAGGCUGGUGAAAUGAAGUUCAUAGUCCCGGAUGUGAAAAGUGGUUUGUAAAUUCAAACAAGCACUGAACCUUGCUAACCUAAUCUCAUCACGAGAAGCCAACUUCCUACAGCUCAAAACACAAAACCUGCCAAUAAUCUCCUGUACCUCCACAAACUGCACACCAGAAUCUAUCAAAGACAAGAAUACCCAACCACCUGUAGGGGAACAUUUCUCACAAAAAAACCAGUCUGUCUCCAGUCUCUCAGGCCUGAUCCUCAAAGGGAAUUUACAAACCACCUUUCACAGCUGGGUCUAUGACCUUCACUUCAUCAGCCUCCUGGGUACUAGGUACAGAAACUCACAGACUCAAUAUAGACAGUGGAAUUUUGACACACUACAACCUGUCAGGCAUCUGACUCUCCACUUUUACGUGCGCUGCUACAUCCUCUUUUCCCCCUCUGCCCCAGCCUGUCCCUUACCCCCUGACACCUCCAUUUCCAUUUUCACUGACUGGCUUUCUUGCCUGCAUUGCAUGCCAGCCUCUGGCUUCUUUACUGUUCCUUCUAUCCAGGAACAGCACACACACACACACCAACUGCAGUGUUUCCUCAGCUUGACAAAGGGCUUUUCAACCCAAAAGCUCCUUGGUGAGAUAGGCAGCCACCAAGGCCUGAGUGCUACCUUCCAGAUGGUGAGGUCUGGUGCCUCUGGACCCCGCCAUGGAAGCCAUGCCGUUGGCCCACAUUGGCAGCACCUAUGGUAGAGGAGAAGACUGGCUGGUGGAUGCCAUGCUAGCAUGGGAUAGUGGAUCCCCCUCUUCCUCAUCCCCCUGCCUCUGCUGUUAUGCCUCCCUGACUCUCUUCACUAGCACUUCCGCCCACUGUUUCAGUGUUUGAUUGCUGCAUACAUUGCCCUUCACCCUCAGACCACACCUGGCAGCUAGCACAUGGACUGUACUGGACUGCAAGGGAUCAAGCUGUUUCCUGAUGCCCUCCUU